GUGUCUAUUGAAAGGAGAGACGGUUAGCACUCCCCUUGACAAGGAUGGAACACAUAAUCUGGUCUUGGCACUUCAAUGACCAGCCAUUUUUU
RNAcentral lists this non-coding RNA (92 nucleotides) under Operophtera brumata (winter moth). Lineage: Eukaryota; Metazoa; Arthropoda; Insecta; Lepidoptera; Geometridae. The record is from RNAcentral.